This is a non-coding RNA of Caenorhabditis elegans, 21 nucleotides long. The record is from Ensembl. Lineage: Eukaryota; Metazoa; Nematoda; Chromadorea; Rhabditida; Rhabditidae.
UUUAUCUAUUAAAUGAUUGGC